GAUGAACGCUAGCGGCAGGCCUAAUACAUGCAAGUCGAACGAUACUUUCCAGCUUGCUGGAGAGGAAAGUGGCGCACGGGUGCGUAACGCGUAUGCAACCUACCUUAAUCAGGGGGAUAGCCCGAAGAAAUUCGGAUUAACACCGCAUAAAAUCACAAUAUAGCAUUAUAAAAUGAUCAAAUAUUUAUAGGAUUAAGAUUGGCAUGCGUGACAUUAGUUAGUUGGCGGGGUAACGGCCCACCAAGACCACGAUGUCUAGGGGAUCUGAGAGGAUGACCCCCCACACUGGUACUGAGACACGGACCAGACUCCUACGGGAGGCAGCAGUAAGGAAUAUUGGUCAAUGGAGGCAACUCUGAACCAGCCAUGCCGCGUGCAGGAAGACAGCCCUCUGGGUCGUAAACUGCUUUUAUUCGGGAAUAAACCUAUCUACGUGUAGAUAGCUGAAUGUACCGAAGGAAUAAGGAUCGGCUAACUCCGUGCCAGCCGCCGCGGUAA
Molecule: ribosomal RNA, 498 nt
Filed under: uncultured bacterium
Lineage: Bacteria
Description: partial 16S ribosomal RNA
Rfam family: Bacterial small subunit ribosomal RNA
Source: RNAcentral